RNAcentral lists this long non-coding RNA (1225 nucleotides) under Homo sapiens (human). RNAcentral describes it as "HSALNT0379342". The record is from RNAcentral. Lineage: Eukaryota; Metazoa; Chordata; Mammalia; Primates; Hominidae.
CCACAGUUUGCCCACCGGACGGCCCUGCUAGGUGGGAAGCUCCUUGCAGGCAGGAACCCCAUCUCCUUGACUUUACUUUGGAAUCCCCGCAGCCUCAUACGGGGCUGAGGCAGGUCCUUCCGUAAAAUGGAACUGAAUGAGCGGCGCUUAAUCCAUCCGCCAAAGGCCAGUCUCCCUUGGGUUUUCAACAGCUACACGGUGAAGACACAGAUGUCCACAUCUUCUGCAGAUAAGGAAACUGAGGGGUAAUAAUAAAUAAUUUGCACAACACAGCACAAAGCUGAGGAGCCAACACUGGACCUGACGAAGUCCCAUUCUGGAAGCCAAACUCCCAACUGCUAAGCUCUGCUUGAAUUCUCAUUGAGCAUCUCGCUUCUUAAAAGUUUCAACAACUCAGCAGUCUAUAAUCCAACUCGCCUUCUCCACAAUGCCAAAAGUGCAAUGAGCUUCAUGCUGAAUACUGAUUUGAAGUGUGGUUCACCACACAGACUUAAAUUGUCCUUCCCACAACUUUAUCUGAGAAGCAUGACAACGGUGACAAUCACAGGACUAGUUUUAUUGGACAGGCAACUUUCUGGGUCUGAGAAAGAGAAGGCUUCCAGGAGGUCUGCAGCCACCUGCUUCAGCCACUGCUGGUAUCCACAUCUUCAAAGCGGAGGUUUAGCCACACCCAGAGGGGGGAAUAACACUUGCAGAAAACAACGCUCAGAAAUUGGCGUCACCUGAUUCCCCACAGCAGAGCAGACCAGCUGUCUCCUGUACAGGUGGAAGCAGCUUGCACGCUUCCUGCCAUCCGCAUGCUCACUCCUCCCUCACAGUCCCAGAAAUGGAAUCCCAAGAGGCCGCUCAGGCAAGCCAGAUAGAGCCACCCAUGUGAUCAAGCAUUCAGGGCAUGAGGGCCCCCACUACCAUGGCCCGGAAAAUACAUGCAUCAACAUGACUCAUGUCAUUUGCUUGCCCUUGGUGAAUUUCACGUUGCAUUUCUAACCCGAAGCUAGGGUCGCGAUUGUCUGGGGCGUAGAGUCCCUACCACUUCUAGGUAUUCCACAUUCCCAGUCUCUAUUCAACAAGAGGCUAGGCUGACACUGAAGCAGCUAUCCAGGUUAUUCUUCAGAAAUCAGAUAUUUUUAAAGUGAUGCCAAGUUACACCUAACAUCAUAGAAUAUUCUCUUCAUGUGAACUUAAUUCAGUAGAAAACAUCUUCGGCCAGACACCUGCAGCUGGC